Molecule: ribosomal RNA, 253 nt
Filed under: uncultured bacterium
Lineage: Bacteria
Description: partial 16S ribosomal RNA
Rfam family: Bacterial small subunit ribosomal RNA
Source: RNAcentral
GACGGAGGAUGCAAGCGUUAUCCGGAAUGAUUGGGCGUAAAGCGUCCGCAGGUGGCAGUUCAAGUCUGCUGUCAAAGACCGGGGCUUAACUUCGGAAAGGCAGUGGAAACUGAACAGCUAGAGUAUGGUAGGGGCAGAGGGAAUUCCUGGUGUAGCGGUGAAAUGCGUAGAGAUCAGGAAGAACAUCGGUGGCGAAGGCGGUCUGCUGGGCAGUUGCUGACACUGAGGCGCGACAGCGUGGGGAGCAAACAGG